CACCUAAAAAAUCUAACUCUCUGGGUACCUUUACCAGAUGCUAUCUCACCAUGUUGGUCUUUGUUGUUGCGUUUAUGAUCCUAUGGAAGAGUUGGAACUGGGAAAUUCAAUUCCUUUUGUGUUUUUGCAUGCUCGGCUCAUCCUGUGAAUUAGAUUGAUUGCUUCCCAAACAAAACGCCUUUGUGGUUUCCCGGACAACAGGGGGCGAUUUGGACCAAGGAAAUCCAGUC
This is a long non-coding RNA of Hippocampus zosterae (dwarf seahorse), 230 nucleotides long. RefSeq lists it as uncharacterized. The transcript has 2 exons. The record is from RefSeq and is a predicted model, not a curated record. NCBI's taxonomy places the organism in Eukaryota, Metazoa, Chordata, Actinopteri, Syngnathiformes, Syngnathidae.